AUGCACGCUGGCGGCGUGCCUCAUACAUGCCAGUCGCGCGAACAGACGAGGAGCUUGCUCCUCUGACGUUAGCGGCGGACGGGUGAGUAACACGUGGAUAACCUACCUAUAAGACUGGGAUAACUUCGGGAAACCGGAGCUAAUACCGGAUAAUAUAUUGAACCGCAUGGUUCAAUAGUGAAAGACGGUUUUGCUGUCACUUAUAGAUGGAUCCGCGCCGCAUUAGCUAGUUGGUAAGGUAACGGCUUACCAAGGCAACGAUGCGUAGCCGAACUGAGAGGGUGAUCGGCCACACUGGAACUGAGACACGGUCCAGACUCCUACGGGAGGCAGCAGUAGGGAAUCUUCCGCAAUGGGCGAAAGCCUGACGGAGCAACGCCGCGUGAGUGAUGAAGGUCUUCGGAUCGUAAAACUCUGUUAUUAGGGAAGAACAAAUGUGUAAGUAACUAUGCACGUCUUGACGGUACCUAAUCAGAAAGCCACGGCUAACUACGUG
This 496-nucleotide ribosomal RNA is filed under the name uncultured bacterium. RNAcentral's name for it is "partial 16S ribosomal RNA". It matches the Rfam family "Bacterial small subunit ribosomal RNA", at positions 29 to 507 of the family's 1533-position model. The record is from RNAcentral.